GCGCCCAUAGCUCAGUUGGUAGAGCAGCUCCCUUUUAAGGAGAGGGUCGCAGGUUCGAAUCCUGCUGGGCGCA
RNAcentral lists this transfer RNA (73 nucleotides) under Candidatus Sungbacteria bacterium RIFCSPHIGHO2_01_FULL_47_32. RNAcentral describes it as "tRNA-Lys". It matches the Rfam family "tRNA". From Rfam's summary of the family: Transfer RNA (tRNA) molecules are approximately 80 nucleotides in length. Lineage: Bacteria; Candidatus Sungiibacteriota. RNAcentral also lists the same sequence under 2 other names. The record is from RNAcentral.